This 66-nucleotide transfer RNA is filed under the name Sinna extrema. Its description in RNAcentral is "tRNA-Val". The record is from RNAcentral. Lineage: Eukaryota; Metazoa; Arthropoda; Insecta; Lepidoptera; Nolidae.
CAAAUUAGAGCUUGAUUAUAAAGUAUUUCAUUUACAUUGAAAAGAUAUUAAAUUUAAUUAAUUUGA